AGUGAACGCUGGCGGUAGGCCUAACACAUGCAAGUCGAACGGCAGCACAGUAAGAGCUUGCUCUUACGGGUGGCGAGUGGCGGACGGGUGAGGAAUACAUCGGAAUCUACUUUUUCGUGGGGGAUAACGUAGGGAAACUUACGCUAAUACCGCAUACGACCUACGGGUGAAAGCAGGGGAUCUUCGGACCUUGCGCGAUUGAAUGAGCCGAUGUCGGAUUAGCUAGUUGGCGGGGUGAAGGCCCACCAAGGCGACGAUCCGUAGCUGGUCUGAGAGGAUGAUCAGCCACACUGGAACUGAGACACGGUCCAGACUCCUACGGGAGGCAGCAGUGGGGAAUAUUGGACAAUGGGCGCAAGCCUGAUCCAGCCAUACCGCGUGGGUGAAGAAGGCCUUCGGGUUGUAAAGCCCUUUUGUUGGGAAAGAAAAGCAGCAGGUUAAUACCCCGCUGUUCGGACGGUACCCAAAGAAUAAGCACCGGCUAACUUCGG
This 491-nucleotide ribosomal RNA is filed under the name uncultured bacterium. RNAcentral's name for it is "partial 16S ribosomal RNA". It matches the Rfam family "Bacterial small subunit ribosomal RNA", at positions 29 to 506 of the family's 1533-position model. The record is from RNAcentral.